AACGAUGAACCGGUUUCGGCCGGGGAUUAGUGGCGAACGGGUGAGUAACACGUGGGCAAUCUGCCCUGCACUCUGGGACAAGCCCUGGAAACGGGGUCUAAUACCGGAUAUGACACGCUCCCGCAUGGGAUGCGUGUGGAAAGCUCCGGCGGUGCAGGAUGAGCCCGCGGCCUAUCAGCUUGUUGGUGGGGUGAUGGCCUACCAAGGCGACGACGGGUAGCCGGCCUGAGAGGGCGACCGGCCACACUGGGACUGAGACACGGCCCAGACUCCUACGGGAGGCAGCAGUGGGGAAUAUUGCACAAUGGGCGAAAGCCUGAUGCAGCGACGCCGCGUGAGGGAUGACGGCCUUCGGGUUGUAAACCUCUUUCAGCAGGGAAGAAGCGAGAGUGACGGUACCUGCAGAAGAAGCGCCGGCUAACUACGUGCCAGCAGCG
RNAcentral lists this ribosomal RNA (437 nucleotides) under Streptomyces sp. HVYN-4-3. RNAcentral describes it as "bacterial SSU rRNA". It matches the Rfam family "Bacterial small subunit ribosomal RNA", at positions 65 to 516 of the family's 1533-position model. The record is from RNAcentral. Lineage: Bacteria; Bacillati; Actinomycetota; Actinomycetes; Kitasatosporales; Streptomycetaceae.